GUAGCUCAGUGGUAGAGCGCUUGCCUAGCACAGGAGGCCCUGAGUUCAAGUCUCAGC
RNAcentral lists this transfer RNA (57 nucleotides) under Heterocephalus glaber (naked mole-rat). It matches the Rfam family "tRNA", at positions 7 to 64 of the family's 71-position model. Rfam says of the family: Transfer RNA (tRNA) molecules are approximately 80 nucleotides in length. Their secondary structure includes four short double-helical elements and three loops (D, anti-codon, and T loops). Lineage: Eukaryota; Metazoa; Chordata; Mammalia; Rodentia; Bathyergidae. The record is from Rfam by way of RNAcentral.